UUCGCGCUGGUCAAGAGCAUGGCUGGCCAGCGUUCUGCACUCCUCUCCGGAGCCGGGAGCGCAAGUUCGAAUCUUGCAGGGGACACCA
This 88-nucleotide transfer RNA is filed under the name Streptosporangium saharense. Its description in RNAcentral is "tRNA-OTHER". Lineage: Bacteria; Bacillati; Actinomycetota; Actinomycetes; Streptosporangiales; Streptosporangiaceae. The record is from RNAcentral.